GGAAAUGUCAGCAUCUUUGUAGA
Molecule: non-coding RNA, 23 nt
Filed under: Cricetulus griseus (Chinese hamster)
Lineage: Eukaryota; Metazoa; Chordata; Mammalia; Rodentia; Cricetidae
Source: RNAcentral